Molecule: ribosomal RNA, 492 nt
Filed under: uncultured bacterium
Lineage: Bacteria
Description: partial 16S ribosomal RNA
Rfam family: Bacterial small subunit ribosomal RNA
Source: RNAcentral
AGUGAACGCUGGCGGUAGGCCUAACACAUGCAAGUCGAACGGCAGCACAGUAAGAGCUUGCUCUUACGGGUGGCGAGUGGCGGACGGGUGAGGAAUACAUCGGAAUCUACUUUUUCGUGGGGGAUAACGUAGGGAAACUUACGCUAAUACCGCAUACGACCUACGGGUGAAAGCAGGGGAUCUUCGGACCUUGCGCGAUUGAAUGAGCCGAUGUCGGAUUAGCUAGUUGGCGGGGUAAAGGCCCACCAAGGCGACGAUCCGUAGCUGGUCUGAGAGGAUGAUCAGCGACACUGGAGCUGGGACACGGUCCAGACUCCUACGGGAGGGAGCAGUGGGGAAUAUGGGACAGUGGGCGCAAGCCUGGUCCAGCCAUACCGCGUGGGUGAAGAAGGCCUUCGGGUUGUAAAGCCCUUUUGUUGGGAAAGAAAAGCAGCAGGUUAAGACCCCGCUGUUCUGACGGUACCCAAAGAAUAAGCACCGGCUAACUUCGUG